CCUACGGGAGGCAGCAGUGGGGAAUAUUGCACAAUGGGGGAAACCCUGAUGCAGCGACGCCGCGUGAGUGAAGAAGUAUUUCGGUACGUAAAGCUCUAUCAGCAGGGAAGAACAUGACGGUACCUGACUAAGAAACCCCGGCUAACUACGUGCCAGCAGCCGCGGUAAUACGUAGGUGGCACGCGUGAUCGGGAUUUACGGGGUGUAAAGGGAGCGUAGACGGAAGCGCAAGUCUGAAGUGAAAUCCCAUGGCUUAACCAUGGAACUGCUUUGGAAACUGUGCAGCUAGAGUGCAGGAGAGGUAAGCGGAAGUCCUAGUGUAGCGGUGAAAUGCGUAGAUAUUAGGAGGAACACCAGUGGCGAAGGCGGCUUACUGGACUGUAACUGACGUUGAGGCUCGAAAGCGUGGGGAGCAAACAGGAUUAGAUACCCCAGUAGUC
Molecule: ribosomal RNA, 440 nt
Filed under: uncultured bacterium
Lineage: Bacteria
Description: partial 16S ribosomal RNA
Rfam family: Bacterial small subunit ribosomal RNA
Source: RNAcentral